This is a long non-coding RNA of Cygnus olor (mute swan), 761 nucleotides long. RefSeq lists it as uncharacterized. The record is from RefSeq and is a predicted model, not a curated record. Lineage: Eukaryota; Metazoa; Chordata; Aves; Anseriformes; Anatidae. The transcript is spliced from 4 exons.
CAGCCCGUCCCAGCGCACGUCGCCCUCCCGCUCCUCCGUGGAGCCCCCCCGCCGCCUCAGCAGCCCCGCGGCGGAUGCCCCACGGCGGAGCCGCGGCAGCCGACCCGCCCCCGAGGAGCACGAGCCCGCAGCCCUCUGCCCGCGCCGCAUCGGCGGGGGAGCGGCGCCGCCAACGGCCGCCGACCGCCGCUCAACGGCCGCCACCGCCGCGGGGGCUUCUGGGGUGAGUGUGAAGUUGUGGCCAGAGGGAUUUCCUAUUCCUAAGGUGACCUGGUGGACACCAACUUUCCUAGUAAAUUGCUGACGUUGCUGAGGAGGCAGCAGUAGCAAAGCCCUUGUUGAUGAAGAUACAGCAAGUCUGGGGAGGCUUUGGCAUUUCUCUGCAAUGCUGCUCCCUGAUUGUGACCCGACUCAGAUUCUGAAUGAAGCAAAGCAAGCUAGAGGAAAGCUUAUCCCAAACUCCAUAUUAUAGCUGAUCUUCAUCUCUGAUCUUAAAAGCUUCACAGGCCGAAAGAGAAUUGAGAUGAGGAAGGAAACAGAGAAUGCUGAUGAAUAUUUCCAAUUACCACCCCAGCUUAUGUCUUGGCUCUUCACAUCAAGCCAGAGCAGUUUCUUUGCCUCCGGAACCUGCAGACUGACCUCUCGUGUGUAUCUGUGGUGGACUGAGGAAACCACUUGGCUAGCCAAACUAAAUCAUUGAAAAUGGAAGCAGUGGAACUACUUCAAAACCGUGCUUCUGCUUCUAAGCAGAACUGUAAUGU